UGGGGAAUUUUCCGCAAUGGGCGAAAGCCUGACGGAGCAAUGCCGCGUGGAGGUGGAAGGCCUACGGGUCGUCAACUUCUUUUCUCGGAGAAGAAACAAUGACGGUAUCUGAGGAAUAAGCAUCGGCUAACUCAGUGCCAG
This 141-nucleotide ribosomal RNA is filed under the name uncultured bacterium. RNAcentral's name for it is "partial 16S rRNA". It matches the Rfam family "Bacterial small subunit ribosomal RNA", at positions 355 to 511 of the family's 1533-position model. The record is from RNAcentral.